AUGAUUUUCCUUUCUCAAUUCUGAAAGUUUGGGGUAAGAAAGAGUUAGGGUCCAGUGUUGUUUCCUAUAGAAAUUCCUGUCUUGUUCUUGCCUUUGUGGUGGUUUAUUAUGCUCUAGAGUAGUAGAGGAAUGCAGAUUCAAGGACAACUUGAUCUGUAUAUCUUCUUUAGGAUUGGUUUAAGCCUUUGAGACAAAUUCUUGCCUCGAAGAUAAGGAGUUGGAAGACCAUAAUUUAGGUUUCAAAGGAUGGGUGAAGGCAUAAUGGAGUCUAGAAGGAAUGUUUGGGUGAAGAAGUUUUCAAGAACAGAGUCAGCAGAUCGAAUAUCGUGCAUUCCACGAGAAGAGUUGGAUUCAAAGGCUAGAAUAAGAGAAGAUUUGGGCAAGUAUUGGUAUAACAAGGUUUGAGAAAUCAGUUUGGUUUAGUAUAUCAGUAAAUUCAGAGGUCAGAAGGAAAGGAAGUGUUGGUGAGCAACGGAGUGGCUUUGGGUGAGAUGGGUAACAUGGAUCGGUGUAUCAACGAUGGUUAAAAUCUGAAUAAGAGAAAUUGUGGAUGGUUUGAAGUUUAAGUUAGGAGAGGGAUAAGAAUUCCGAAGUGGAUAUUGUAUAGCCAAGUUUAGAAGAAUGUUUCAAG
RNAcentral lists this long non-coding RNA (631 nucleotides) under Vigna radiata. Its description in RNAcentral is "long non-coding RNA (VRAD_LNC002933)". The record is from RNAcentral. Lineage: Eukaryota; Viridiplantae; Streptophyta; Magnoliopsida; Fabales; Fabaceae.